AUUGAACGCUGGCGGAAUGCUUUACACAUGCAAGUCGAACGGCAGCACGGGGCAACCUGGUGGCGAGUGGCGAACGGGUGAGUAAUAUAUCGGAACGUGCCCAAUCGUGGGGGAUAACGUAGCGAAAGUUACGCUAAUACCGCAUACGAUCUACGGAUGAAAGCGGGGGAUCGCAAGACCUCGCGCGAAUGGAGCGGCCGAUAUCAGAUUAGGUAGUUGGUGGGGUAAAGGCUCACCAAGCCAACGAUCUGUAGCUGGUCUGAGAGGACGACCAGCCACACUGGAACUGAGACACGGUCCAGACUCCUACGGGAGGCAGCAGUGGGGAAUUUUGGACAAUGGGCGAAAGCCUGAUCCAGCGACGCCGCGUGGAGGACGAAGCCCUUCGGGGUGUAAACGUCCUUUUCUCAGGGAAAAAGGAUAGAUGGUACCUGAGGAAUAAGCCCCGGCUAACUACGUG
RNAcentral lists this ribosomal RNA (460 nucleotides) under uncultured bacterium. RNAcentral's name for it is "bacterial SSU rRNA". It matches the Rfam family "Bacterial small subunit ribosomal RNA", at positions 30 to 507 of the family's 1533-position model. The record is from RNAcentral.